Molecule: transfer RNA, 76 nt
Filed under: Bacillota bacterium
Lineage: Bacteria; Bacillati; Bacillota
Also listed under: 1 other name
Description: tRNA-Pro
Rfam family: tRNA
About the family: Transfer RNA (tRNA) molecules are approximately 80 nucleotides in length.
Source: RNAcentral
CGGGGUGUAGCGCAGAUGGUAGCGCGCAUGGUUCGGGACCAUGAGGCCGCUGGUUCAAGUCCAGUCACUCCGACCA